RNAcentral lists this ribosomal RNA (274 nucleotides) under uncultured bacterium. RNAcentral's name for it is "partial 16S ribosomal RNA". It matches the Rfam family "Bacterial small subunit ribosomal RNA", at positions 523 to 796 of the family's 1533-position model. The record is from RNAcentral.
AGACGGAGGGGGCUAGCGUUGUUCGGAAUCACUGGGCGUAAAGCGCGCGUAGGCGGCCGCUCAAGUUGGGCGUGAAAGCCCGGGGCUCAACCCCGGAACUGCGCUUGAUACUUGCUGGCUCGAGACCGGGAGAGGGUGGCGGAAUUCCCAGUGUAGAGGUGAAAUUCGUAGAUAUUGGGAAGAACACCAGUGGCGAAGGCGGCCACCUGGACCGGUACUGACGCUGAGGCGCGAAAGCGUGGGGAGCAAACGGGAUUAGAAACCCCAGUAGUCC